Molecule: ribosomal RNA, 406 nt
Filed under: uncultured bacterium
Lineage: Bacteria
Description: partial 16S ribosomal RNA
Rfam family: Bacterial small subunit ribosomal RNA
Source: RNAcentral
AUUGAACGCUGGCGGCAGGCCUAACACAUGCAAGUCGAACGAGUGGCGGACGGGUGAGUAAUGUCUGGGAAACAGCCUGAUGGAGGGGGAUAACUCCUGGAAACGGUAGCUAAUACCGCUUACCAUCGGAUGUGACCAGAUGGGAUUAGCUAGUAGGUGGGGUAAAGGCUAACCUACGCGACGAUCCAUAGCGGGUCUGCGAGGUUGACAAGCCACCCUGGAACGGAGACAAGGUCAAGACUCCUACGGAAGGCAGCAGUGGGGAAUAUUGCGCAAUGGGCGCAAGCCUGAUGCAGCCAUGCCGCGUGUAUGAUGAAGGCCUUCGGGUUGUAAAGUACUUUCAGCGGGGAGGCGUUACCCGCAGAAGAAGCACCGGCUAACUACGUGCCAGCAGCCGCGGUAAUAC